GUGAGAGUGGAGUAGAGGUUGCUCGGUUGUCUUCCAAACAACAAGGAUGGGUUCGAUUCCCGUCUCUCGCA
This 71-nucleotide transfer RNA is filed under the name Pyramimonas parkeae. RNAcentral's name for it is "tRNA-Gly". It matches the Rfam family "tRNA". Rfam says of the family: Transfer RNA (tRNA) molecules are approximately 80 nucleotides in length. Their secondary structure includes four short double-helical elements and three loops (D, anti-codon, and T loops). Further hydrogen bonds mediate the characteristic L-shaped molecular structure. tRNAs have two regions of fundamental functional importance: the anti-codon, which is responsible for specific mRNA codon recognition, and the 3' end, to which the tRNAs corresponding amino acid is attached (by aminoacyl-tRNA synthetases). tRNAs cope with the degeneracy of the genetic code in two manners: having more than one tRNA (with a specific anti-codon) for a particular amino acid; and 'wobble' base-pairing, i.e. permitting non-standard base-pairing at the 3rd anti-codon position. The record is from RNAcentral. Lineage: Eukaryota; Viridiplantae; Chlorophyta; Pyramimonadophyceae; Pyramimonadales; Pyramimonadaceae.